This 55-nucleotide small nucleolar RNA is filed under the name Thermococcus kodakarensis KOD1. RNAcentral's name for it is "Small nucleolar RNA sR39". It matches the Rfam family "Small nucleolar RNA sR39". The record is from Rfam by way of RNAcentral. Lineage: Archaea; Methanobacteriati; Methanobacteriota; Thermococci; Thermococcales; Thermococcaceae.
GGCGAUGACGACAAUUUCGCUAGCUGACCGGUGAUGACUACCCUCGCAACCGAGC